RNAcentral lists this unclassified non-coding RNA (229 nucleotides) under uncultured fungus. RNAcentral's name for it is "sequence contains ITS1, 5.8S rRNA gene". The stretch from base 181 to 229 matches the Rfam family "5.8S ribosomal RNA", at positions 1 to 49 of the family's 154-position model. Lineage: Eukaryota; Fungi. The record is from RNAcentral.
UAUAAAGAGGGGAAAAGGAGGAGGGAGAAGGAAGGAGUGAGGGUCUCCGGGCCCGACCUCCAACCCUUUUGUGAACCACCUCGUUGCUUCGGGGGCGACCCUGCCGUUCGCGGCGUGGGGCCCCCGGAGCCCAUCAAACCCUGCGUAACCAAGUCGUCGGAGUUUAAACAAAUUAAACAAAACUUUCAACAACGGAUCUCUUGGUUCGGGCAUCGAUGAAGAACGCAGC